CCUACGGGUGGCAGCAGUGGGGAAUAUUGCACAAUGGACGGAAGUCUGAUGCAGCGACGCCGCGUGGAUGAAGACGGCCUUCGGGUUGUAAAAUCCUUUUAGUGGGGAAGAGAAAGGACGGUACCCACUGAAUAAGUGUCGGCUAACUACGUGCCAGCAGCCGCGGUAAUACGUAGGACACGAGCGUUAUCCGGAUUUACUGGGCGUAAAGCGUCUGUAGGCGGUAUGGUAAGUUGGGCGUGAAAGCUCCGGGCUUAACCCGGAGAGGCCGUUCAAUACUGCCAAACUAGAGGGCGAGAGAGGGGAGCGGAAUUCCUGGUGUAGCGGUAAAAUGCGCAGAUAUCAGGAGGAACACCGGUGGCGAAGGCGGCUCCCUGGAUCGCAACUGACGCUGAGAGACGACAGCUAGGGGAGCAAACAGGAUUAGAUACCCGAGUAGUC
This 441-nucleotide ribosomal RNA is filed under the name uncultured bacterium. Its description in RNAcentral is "bacterial SSU rRNA". It matches the Rfam family "Bacterial small subunit ribosomal RNA", at positions 338 to 795 of the family's 1533-position model. The record is from RNAcentral.